UACAGAGGGUGCGAGCGUUAAUCGGAAUUACUGGGCGUAAAGCGCGCGUAGGCGGCUUUUCAAGUCGAUUGUGAAAUCCCCGGGCUUAACCUGGGAACUGCAUUCGAGACUGCAUUGCUGGAGUACGGAAGAGGAAGGCGGAAUUCCCGGUGUAGCGGUGAAAUGCGUAGAUAUCGGGAGGAACAUCAGUGGCGAAGGCGGCCUUCUGGUCCAGUACUGACACUCAAGUGCGAAAGCGUGGGGAGCAAACAGG
Molecule: ribosomal RNA, 253 nt
Filed under: uncultured bacterium
Lineage: Bacteria
Description: partial 16S ribosomal RNA
Rfam family: Bacterial small subunit ribosomal RNA
Source: RNAcentral